RNAcentral lists this long non-coding RNA (1247 nucleotides) under Carassius auratus (goldfish). RNAcentral's name for it is "lncRNA (ENSCARG00000034035.1)". Lineage: Eukaryota; Metazoa; Chordata; Actinopteri; Cypriniformes; Cyprinidae. The record is from RNAcentral.
GAUUAUUUGGAAAAUGAAAGUAACAACAUUUAUUGUCAGAAUUGUAAUAAAUUAUUGCUAACUAUAUCAAAGGCUGCAUUUGAAGGACUCGGAUUGGUCAAACAGAGCACUGGUCAGCUGUCACAGCUGCCACUGAACACUGACCUGUACUAGUAUGCUCUAUUAAAAAAAUGUAUUCAGUUUUAUUUUUAUGGUUAACUGCCUACCUUGGUCAAGACAAUAAACUACAUAAAAUCGCACCUUUGUAAGAUAUCAGUCAGCAUUUGAACUGCUAUGUGUGUUGUAGUUUUUCAUAUGUAUCAUUACUUUACUCAAGUAAGCUCCAAACCAGUACCUGCAUUUAAAGUUGUAAUCAAACAAAGGAAGCAGCAAACCAGUGUAACUUACCUGGCCUCGGGCUGGUAUAUCACAGUCUCCUCCAUUAUGACGUAAAACAUAUAAACAAAAACUAUCCUAGCAGGGUUGUCUCUCUCCAGCUCUCCUCUCACACCGUUGCUGUGCACAGGGGUGGAGGAAUUAGGAAAUCCUGCAAAGGCGGAGCAUCUCACGCACUUCGGAGGGCUGGUUUACGAAAUGUGCACACUCAAUUUUGGGACACAGCUUAGUUCUCUGUCUAGUGCUUCCACCGAUGACUCUGGACAUGAAUCCUACACUAUUCCUGCUUCUGGUAUUGACAGCUAGCUGGACUGGACCUGUUCAAUGUGAAGACAAUGAAGAGAGAGAGUAUAUCUCUGAAGGCUAUAAUCAUGGGGACGGCUCUGGAGAUGGCAGGCGCUCGUGUACGUAUUCAUCUUUUCAGAUCAUAAAAUAACCAUUUAUGCUUUAUCUGGUCUACUUUUACAGUCUCUAGCUUGGGAAAUUGAUCCUUUACUUAAAUCUUGUUCAGAUGUAGGUUCCACACCAAGCAGUGACUCAGAGCCGACUACAGAGACAGAGACAGACGCAGAAACAGAGAAAGAGACAUUGGGUUUAAAGAUGUGCAUUAAACCUGAAGGUGAACGUGAUAACAGUCUGUUAUAGGAAAAAAUCUGAAUGGAUGCACAUUAGUAAAUCACUUUUUAAACCUACUAAGAUGCAUUUGUAAACUGCUUUACUUCACAAAACACACUCACACACACACACACACACCACUAGUGGCGCCAGGAUUUUUAUUGUAAGUGGGCCUCCAGAAAACUGGAUUGGUCAGUUAAAAUACCCCCACACCCUUCAACUCCAUUCCAGUGCUUUUCUGCGGCACUGAGGACAGC